RNAcentral lists this signal recognition particle RNA (301 nucleotides) under Saimiri boliviensis boliviensis (Bolivian squirrel monkey). RNAcentral's name for it is "Metazoan signal recognition particle RNA (ENSSBOG00000010998.1)". It matches the Rfam family "Metazoan signal recognition particle RNA". From Rfam's summary of the family: The signal recognition particle (SRP) is a universally conserved ribonucleoprotein. It is involved in the co-translational targeting of proteins to membranes. The record is from RNAcentral. Lineage: Eukaryota; Metazoa; Chordata; Mammalia; Primates; Cebidae.
GUCAGGCGCGGUGGUGCGCACCUGUAGUCCCAGCUACUCAGGAGGCUGAGGCUGGAGGAUCGCUUGAGCCCAGGAGUUCUGGGCUGUAGUGUGCCAUGCUGACCGGCUGUCCGCACUAAGUUCAGCCUCAGUAUGGUGACCUCUCAGGAGCCGGGGAACACCAGGUUGCCUAAGGAGGAGUGAACUUGUUCAGUUUGGAAAUGGAGCAGGUCAAAACUCCCAUGCUGAUCAGUAGUGGGAUAGCACCUAUAAAUAGCCACUGCACUCCAGCCUGGGCAACACAGCGAGAGACCCCGUCUCU